Molecule: ribosomal RNA, 1698 nt
Filed under: Escherichia coli
Lineage: Bacteria; Pseudomonadati; Pseudomonadota; Gammaproteobacteria; Enterobacterales; Enterobacteriaceae
Description: partial 23S ribosomal RNA
Rfam family: Bacterial large subunit ribosomal RNA
Source: RNAcentral
GAAAUCAACCGAGAUUCCCCCAGUAGCGGCGAGCGAACGGGGAGGAGCCCAGAGCCUGAAUCAGUGUGUGUGUUAGUGGAAGCGUCUGGAAAGGCGCGCGAUACAGGGUGACAGCCCCGUACACAAAAAUGCACAUACUGUGAGCUCGAUGAGUAGGGCGGGACACGUGGUAUCCUGUCUGAAUAUGGGGGGACCAUCCUCCAAGGCUAAAUACUCCUGACUGACCGAUAGUGAACCAGUACCGUGAGGGAAAGGCGAAAAGAACCCCGGCGAGGGGAGUGAAAAAGAACCUGAAACCGUGUACGUACAAGCAGUGGGAGCCUCUUUAUGGGGUGACUGCGUACCUUUUGUAUAAUGGGUCAGCGACUUAUAUUCUGUAGCAAGGUUAACCGAAUAGGGGAGCCGAAGGGAAACCGAGUCUUAACUGGGCGUUAAGUUGCAGGGUAUAGACCCGAAACCCGGUGAUCUAGCCAUGGGCAGGUUGAAGGUUGGGUAACACUAACUGGAGGACCGAACCGACUAAUGUUGAAAAAUUAGCGGAUGACUUGUGGCUGGGGGUGAAAGGCCAAUCAAACCGGGAGAUAGCUGGUUCUCCCCGAAAGCUAUUUAGGUAGCGCCUCGUGAAUUCAUCUCCGGGGGUAGAGCACUGUUUCGGCAAGGGGGUCAUCCCGACUUACCAACCCGAUGCAAACUGCGAAUACCGGAGAAUGUUAUCACGGGAGACACACGGCGGGUGCUAACGUCCGUCGUGAAGAGGGAAACAACCCAGACCGCCAGCUAAGGUCCCAAAGUCAUGGUUAAGUGGGAAACGAUGUGGGAAGGCCCAGACAGCCAGGAUGUUGGCUUAGAAGCAGCCAUCAUUUAAAGAAAGCGUAAUAGCUCACUGGUCGAGUCGGCCUGCGCGGAAGAUGUAACGGGGCUAAACCAUGCACCGAAGCUGCGGCAGCGACACUAUGUGUUGUUGGGUAGGGGAGCGUUCUGUAAGCCUGUGAAGGUGGCCUGUGAGGGUGGCUGGAGGUAUCAGAAGUGCGAAUGCUGACAUAAGUAACGAUAAAGCGGGUGAAAAGCCCGCUCGCCGGAAGACCAAGGGUUCCUGUCCAACGUUAAUCGGGGCAGGGUGAGUCGACCCCUAAGGCGAGGCCGAAAGGCGUAGUCGAUGGGAAACAGGUUAAUAUUCCUGUACUUGGUGUUACUGCGAAGGGGGGACGGAGAAGGCUAUGUUGGCCGGGCGACGGUUGUCCCGGUUUAAGCGUGUAGGCUGGUUUUCCAGGCAAAUCCGGAAAAUCAAGGCUGAGGCGUGAUGACGAGGCACUACGGUGCUGAAGCAACAAAUGCCCUGCUUCCAGGAAAAGCCUCUAAGCAUCAGGUAACAUCAAAUCGUACCCCAAACCGACACAGGUGGUCAGGUAGAGAAUACCAAGGCGCUUGAGAGAACUCGGGUGAAGGAACUAGGCAAAAUGGUGCCGUAACUUCGGGAGAAGGCACGCUGAUAUGUAGGUGAAGUCCCUUGCGGAUGGAGCUGAAAUCAGUCGAAGAUACCAGCUGGCUGCAACUGUUUAUUAAAAACACAGCACUGUGCAAACACGAAAGUGGACGUAUACGGUGUGACGCCUGCCCGGUGCCGGAAGGUUAAUUGAUGGGGUUAGCGGUAACGCGAAGCUCUUGAUCGAAGCCCCGGUAAACGGCGGCCGUAACUAU